This 1234-nucleotide ribosomal RNA is filed under the name metagenome. RNAcentral describes it as "bacterial LSU rRNA". It matches the Rfam family "Bacterial large subunit ribosomal RNA", at positions 1564 to 2808 of the family's 2925-position model. The record is from RNAcentral.
UGAGUACGAGAUGCUACGGCAUCGAAGCAGUCUAUGUCAUACUUCCAAGAAAAGCUUGCACUGUCAUAAACAAAGAAUGCCUGUACCAUAACCGACACAGGUGGGUAGGUAGAGUAUACUAAGGGGCGCGAGAUAACUCUCUCUAAGGAACUCGGCAAAAUGACUCCGUAACUUCGGGAGAAGGAGUGCCUUAUUUCUAAGGUUGCAAUAACAAGAUCCAAGCAACUGUUUACCAAAAACACAGGUCUCCGCUAAGUCGUAAGACGAUGUAUGGGGGCUGACGCCUGCCCAGUGCCAGAAGGUUAAAGAAGUUGGUUAGCAUUAGCGAAGCUGAUAACUGAAGCCCUGGUGAACGGCGGCCGUAACAAUAACGGUCCUAAGGUAGCGAAAUUCCUUGUCGGGUAAGUUCCGACCCGCACGAAAGGCGUAAUGAUUUGGAUACUGUCUCGGAGAGGGGCUCGGUGAAAUAGACUUGUCUGUGAAGAUGCGGACUACCUGCACCUGGACAGAAAGACCCUAUGAAGCUUUACUGUAACUUGAGAUUGAAAUUGGACUUUAUUUGCGCAGUAUAGGUGGGAGGCGUUGAGAAUAAUCUUGCGGGAUUGUUGGAGCCAUCAGUGAGAUACCACUCUUGUAAUGUUAGAUUUCUAACUUUGUAUCAUUAUCUGGUCAAAGAACAGUUUCAGGCGGGCAGUUUGACUGGGGCGGUCGCCUCCCAAAGGGUAACGGAGGCGCACAAAGGUUUCCUCUGAACGGGUAGAAAUCGUAUCUAGAGUGUAAAGGCAUAAGGAAGCUUGACUGUGAGACCUACAAGUCGAGCAGGGACGAAAGUCGGUCUUAGUGAUCUGACGGUGCUGAGUGGAAAGGCCGUCACUCAACGGAUAAAAGUUACUCUAGGAUAACAGGCUGAUCUCCCCCAAGAGUUCACAUCGACGGGGAGGUUUGGCACCUCGAUGUCGGCUCAUCGCAUCCUGGGGCGGUAGUCCGUCCCAAGGGUUGGGCUGUUCGCCCAUGAAAGCGGUACGCGAGCUGGGUUCAGAACGUCGUGAGACAGUUCGGUCCAUACCCGGUGUAGGCGUUAGAAUAUUGAGAGGAGCCUUCUCUAGUACGAGAGGACCGAGAAGGACAUACCUCUGGUGUACCAGUUAUCGUGCCAACGGUAAACGCUGGGUAGCUAUGUCUGGAGUGGAUAACCGCUGAAAGCAUCUAAGUGGGAAGCCCACCUCAAGAUAAG